RNAcentral lists this transfer RNA (71 nucleotides) under Camelus ferus (Wild Bactrian camel). It matches the Rfam family "tRNA". Rfam says of the family: Transfer RNA (tRNA) molecules are approximately 80 nucleotides in length. Their secondary structure includes four short double-helical elements and three loops (D, anti-codon, and T loops). Lineage: Eukaryota; Metazoa; Chordata; Mammalia; Artiodactyla; Camelidae. The record is from Rfam by way of RNAcentral.
GAGGGUGGAGCUCAGGGUAGAGCACGUGCUUAGCACGCGGGAGGCCCUGGGUUCACUCCCCGGCACCUCCA